This 253-nucleotide ribosomal RNA is filed under the name uncultured bacterium. RNAcentral's name for it is "partial 16S ribosomal RNA". It matches the Rfam family "Bacterial small subunit ribosomal RNA", at positions 524 to 776 of the family's 1533-position model. The record is from RNAcentral.
UACGGGGGGGGCAAGCGUUGUUCGGAAUUACUGGGCGUAAAGGGCGCGUAGGCGGCCUUCUAAGUCGGACGUGAAAUCCCUCGGCUUAACCGAGGAACUGCGUCCGAUACUGGCAGGCUUGAAUCCGGGAGAGGGAUGCGGAAUUCCAGGUGUAGCGGUGAAAUGCGUAGAUAUCUGGAGGAACACCGGUGGCGAAGGCGGCAUCCUGGACCGGUAUUGACGCUGAGGCGCGAAAGCCAGGGGAGCAAACGGG